Molecule: non-coding RNA, 4805 nt
Organism: Anas platyrhynchos (mallard)
Lineage: Eukaryota; Metazoa; Chordata; Aves; Anseriformes; Anatidae
Source: RefSeq, a predicted model, not a curated record
UUCCUGAGUUGCUGGGGAGAUUUUGUUUUUCUGUGUUCAUCUGGGAUAUUUCCAGAAAAGGGAUGAGACCGGAAGAUUUUUGUAUAUAGUUAAAUAUCAUACCUUCUCUCCAAUUAUUUGAGAACUGGAUGUUUUGCAGAAGCUGAAUCUGAAGUUAGGGUAAAUACUUUCCAAUAUGGUUUGAUUUUUUGGUUGCUUUUCUUGCUGGCAUGUUACAUAAUUUAGUGCUAUUAAAAACAUCAGAUUAUUACCUUGUAUAAAAGUUAGUAGCAUGCAAUGCAAGCAACCCCAACAACUAAUACAAGGUUAAUGAAGAAUAAUAAAAAAAUAAAUCCAUUUAUGUUAAUAAGUAAUUGAAAGACCAAUUAUUUAGUUAAAAAGUAAUUAUGGAUGUUUAACUAAUUAUGUAGGCAAGAAAGGUCCCCAUAAUUAACUUAUAGUAUUGUAAAAUAUCUGAUCUACAGCGACCCAUGUUAAAAACACAUUCUUGUUUUCAUCAGCACUAAGCACAAACAUAUGUUUUGUAUAUAGGGAUGAUGUAUGGGCUGGCUUCUUUGGGGUCCUGCUUCUUAUUGGUUUACUAAACAAGGGACUGCUGUGACUCUUGUAACAGUUUCUGAGUCCUCUGGUCCCAUAUUAAUGCAGGUGUUAACAGACUGUUAUGUGGUCAUCCAUUAUACAGGGAUUAAUGAAGUUUUGCUCCUUUUCCCCUGUCUAGCACAGUCCUCUUCCACAUGCCUGUUGUGGCAUCCAUAUAGAACCUCUUUACAAUACUUGCCCUAGAGAGAAAGAAUUUCUUGAGGGAAAGCUGAGUGGUAUUUCUACACCAUUUACAUUUGAGGAUUGUCUCAUCAAUAGCUGAGUGAGCCAGAAAAAAGGGGAGGGGAGGGAGGUCUUUGUCUCUGAUGCUAUAUGAAGUUUCUGUCAGUGAGAUUCCUCACUGCUGUCUACACACAUGGGUACAAAAAUUAAAAACCAAAACUAAACAGCAACAACAAAACCACCAAGCACACUAUCUAUAUGAAGCAUACACGUAUCUCUGCCUUUAUUUUUGUCAAGAUUUCACAUGGCUGCUGUCUUUUUAAAGGUACUGUGCAAGAAAUGCUUUAGGCCGCAGCCUCCCUCAGCCACCACCAUUUUAACCAAGCUAGGAAAGCAAUGAUCACAUUGCCUUGCAACACUCUGAGUUUGGGCUAUGUGGUGUACUUCCCUGGCAAGAGGGAGCAAAUGUGCUGAAUGGUGGUAUCUCCAUUGUCUCACAGUUAGUUACAAGGUCAUGAUUAAAAGAGACACAGGAUCAGACAGGGUUCACAACUUGCUCUGACUCAGUGCUGACUGCAUUAAGAAAUCUGUGGUGGGAUCAUUUCACUUGGAGGUCUAUGCUGCAAUGUUUGCAGAAGUGCCUGUGAAAUAGAAAACACUGUUCAAUACUGGUACUUACAGGAAGAUGACUUCAAUUUAUACUUCGGUCACCAGUAGAGUGGAUUUUUGGCUUUCCCUGUCUAUUCUCACCUCCUGAUUCUACACAAGCCACCACCCUCGAGGCACAGAAAACAAUGGGAUAGCACAUUUUCCAUGCGGACAUAUUGGAAAGCCACACACGAACUGGUCUUCUUCAGCUCUCCUGUGUGACGCCACACGCAAAGGGGGCAGAUAAGAAUCCAUGAUACUGCUCAAUCUUAAUGUAUCAAAACCUAGUAUGGAAAUACCCUAGAAGUGAGAAGGGCCAAUAAAAAGAAAUCUCAGUGGCUGGAGGGACAUGGAAGAAAAUCUAGAAAUAUUUUGGGUUCAGCUGAAUUUGAUAUGAUUAAAGCAUUAACAUUCCAGACCCCACAAAAGAUCCCCAUGGAAGACUUAAUGUUUAACAACAAAGUCCUUAAAAAGAUAUUUUUUAUAUCAUUUAUAGGGAUAAAUCAAAUUUUCUGUAUACAUAAUGAGGUUAAAGUACCGUAAUCAGAUCGAGCAGGUAGAAGACUUAAACCUGUAAGAGAUAUAGCUGAAAUGUGGUGGACAGUUUCAAAAUAUCUUACAUUUACAUUAUGUUGGCCACUGUAUUGAUAAUUUUCUGCCUGUUUGUGCUAUCAUAAUAAAUCUAACCUCUAUUCUGAUUUGUGAUAACAAGAUGAGGAAUAAGAGCCGAUAGAAAGAUAAAAAUAACUGAUAUUCUCAGCUUUUUAUCUAUUUUUGCUUUUGGUUGUUACUAGUUUUGAUUACUUUCCCAUGAAGCAUAAAGAUUUUACUGUUUUAUAUUUUGUCUCUCUGAAAGUUAACUCACCCAAUUCUGUAACUGGUCAAACAUCCUUCUUUUAAAAGGUCCUGUUAAAAAUUUCUGAGGCCUCAUGUUCUCAUGGAGCCUGCAGAACAGGAAGAGAUGGUGUACCAGUGGCACAACCUUUCCCUCCUGCAGUGGGACCUUGAUGUACUUAGAUCAUGUGUGACCAACCCCUUCUCUUUUUGCAAGGGAAAUUCUGAAGUGAUGUUGGGUCAUCCUUGGAGUGGUGGGAAAUAUUCACUUACAAGUAAUUUUCUCUGCUGAGUCAACAACACACAGUUCACAACAAUGGGAAGUAAUUAGGUCUUGAAAUUAAUGGAUUUCCCUGUUACCUCAAAAUGCAAUCUUUUUUUUUUUUUUUUUUUUUUUUUCCUAGCCUUUGAUAGAACUGCUUUAUUAUCAAGCUUUGGACUGCUCAUUAUACCUAUUGUCUCAAAUUGGGUGCUGGCAGAUACUGAUGAGUUUUAUUAAUGAUGGAAUAACUAAUGAGAAAAUGUAGACCUUGUAGUUUUUUAAAUUAAUCACAUUUACCUUAGAAUACUUCUGCCUUUUUUUUUUUUUUUGAUAGAAUAUAAUUCAGCUAAGACAUUUUUCUGCUGAUUUGAUUUUUUAUCAGAUAUUUUUUCUUCUGCUCUUGAAAUCAAUUACUUGGAUAACAUAAUAGGCCCCCAUUAAUCUCUGUGGAGCACAGUACAAUCUGUUUCACUUCAAGCCAAGGAGGCCCUAUUGGUGUAAAUCAUGGAGUCAGUCAUUUUGUUGCUAUUUAUAAAAUUAGUCACCUGCAACAUCAUCCUGGAUGAAGUCCAUUGAAUGAAACAGUGUUGGAACAGUCUAUGUACAAGACUUAGUGUUUCACUGUCAAGCCUGCAAGGUGCACAUACAUGUAUCUUAAUAUAAAAAUGGGAAGUCCCUUUCCAUUCAUUUUGAACCUAUUACAAAAACAAAACAAAAAUUAAUGAAAGCAACUUAAAAAUGAAAUAUGUUUUUCAUAAAAUUUUCAUUUUUAUAGAGAGAUAAAAUUUUAUCUCUCUAGACUCCUUCCAGUUAUUGAAAAUAGCAAAAUUGCAAUUAGAAACUUGGAAAAUUAAUAUCAACAUUUUGUGAGUCUAAAGGAUUAAAAAGAAAGGAAUCAUAUUUUCACUUUUGUAGUACAAAAUCAAUCUAGCAUAUCAUCCAAGUUAUACAAACCAAGAAAAAAAUAUCCUCAGAAACUUAAUCUAGUAUAUGACUUCUGUUUGCUCAGAAUAAUCAUAACUUACAUUCCUAUUUUCUGUAAGUAGUGUAGUUAUGACUUUCUCCCACUUCAUUUUUGGUAGGCAAGAUGAAAGACAGAAAGAUUUUGCUGUUUUCUUUUACUUGUGAUGACUACUGCCUUAGUAGUUUUGUUUUUCUGGAAGAAUAUACACAAUUCUAUCAUGACAAGAUGUGCUGUAGCAUUAAUAGUAACAAAGAAAAUUCAAUUCUUAUUCAAAGUAAUAUAAAAUGAGAGUAAUUCUUUUUCAGAGAUGUUAAAUUUACAUUCAUAUCAGUGGAAAACAGAACUUGUUCAACACGCUUCCCAUGUAAUAGAAGUUCUUUUCCUCCUAGUAGCUACUUGACCUUAUGAGGUAGAAGUUGCAUUGUGCCACUAACAGGUGCCAAUUUUGCUGGGCAUGAGUCAGGUAAGCAGUACCAUGCUAAUGCUGUUAGCAUAAAGGCCUGCCAGCUGCUUCAGUUCAAAGCAAAAUGGCUUAAAUGUAAAAUAUGUAUGUAUAUUUUUAUACAUAUAUAUAUGUAUAUAUAUACACAAUUUAGAAGUAGAAUUAUAUAGAAACAGUUUACUAUAACCUUGUGCAAUAAAGAGCUGAAAACUGAACUGCUGAUGCAGACAUAGCUGGACUUGUUUUAAUGAACUUGUUAAAUGCAUGGGCAAUUCUCGGUGUUGGAAUAUGAUUGUAAAGAUUUGGAUGUUUCCAGGUAAUUCCUGGCAAACAAACAAAAACAACAACAACAACAACAACAACAACAACAAAACACCGACUAACCAACCAAAACAAAAACAAAAGCAAAACCACCUACAAACAUUGAUUCUCAUUUGACUUAAUAUAACUACUCAUUAUGAGCAGGAAAUUCCUUCUUUCAAGAAAAAAGGAGGUUCUGCUGGAAAAUGUUACUUUAUCAUUUACUUCGAUUAGUGAAUUCCCCUAAAAAUCCUGGAGCCAGUAAAGAAAUGCCAACAGUCAACAAGUGUUCUUGGAAGUGUUAAAUUUGAUGAUGAGCUGACACCACUUAGACUGGAACCCUGAUUUAUGCACUAAUUUUGUUGUCCAACAGUAGGUGGUAACACUAGUUAGAUCUGACUAAUCGAUGAAGUUAUGGUUCAUGCUUGAGUCACAAAAAAGAUAAAGGGUUAAAAAUUCAGGCCAUCUAAAGUCAAAGUAGAACAAAGAAGCAACGAAGAAGAACAAACAAGUUUAAUUAAAUUUUAUUUUUCUCGAAAUAUUUCAGACUGUGCAAAAUCAAAUACUGUGUCUGGUUUUCAGAUUUUUGUAUG